This 1529-nucleotide small RNA is filed under the name Histoplasma capsulatum var. duboisii H88. Its description in RNAcentral is "Histoplasma capsulatum H88 hypothetical RNA". Lineage: Eukaryota; Fungi; Ascomycota; Eurotiomycetes; Onygenales; Ajellomycetaceae. The record is from RNAcentral.
UUAGAUUCGGCUAGUUCGCUGCCCUGUUUCCAAGCCCUGAAUGUGUGCGCUUCAACCCGAUGUUCAAAAUUACAUCAACGUUGAGUGCUAAACGCUGCAACUCUCACAUAAUUUUAAUCCUCGGUUUAUUUACUCGAUUAUUUAUUCAAUUGAUUAUUGAAGUCCUUUCGUUUGUUAAAUUAUAAUUACUUUUUUCCCUUCUUUUUACAGUGCCUUGCACACACCUCGAACGCUCAAAGCAACGUCUUUCCAAACCAACUUGCCGAACACCUGCAAACUUUUACGAUAGCAAUUUCUCUCUUGCAAAAGGAGGUCUAGGUUUUUUGGAUUAUUUUUAUAAGAUAUUUCGAGAACUGUCGCUUAAACAGCUUCACCGACGUUCCAGCAGAUACUGAGCCAUCUGUUGCAGUCUUUUUAUUUAUCAAAGCGCGAUACUGCUGGGGAGAAAAUACAUUUUAGGUGGUAGAAACAUAUUAUACCCAUUUCCUUCUAGAAGAAUCUCGAACUCAGUAUUUUCCUCCACAUGGAGACGGGCCUGCAAAACGAAGACAGAAGAGCGCACGGGGAGAGUGAAGAUGUUUCUAAUAAAUCAUACUACGUCGCCAAUGAUUCAAACAAUGUAUCGCAAAAUGAUCUGGGGAACUUGCACGAAAAUUCACAGUCUCCGCGUGGGGAUCAUUCACCUGCUCUUAUGAAUGAAAGCUCUCCUAGGGCGCCAUCGCCGACAACCGAAGGUGACCAUCCAUCACCUCACUCCUCAGCCACCGACGUAAACAGCAAAAUAAUGUUGGUUCCACCUCAGAUGGGACUUACGCCGGAAGAAGUGGCACUAUUACAGCACGCCAGCAAAUCCCCGCCAGUGACGGCGGAUUCGCUCUCUGAACUUGGUCUGGAUGCCAUCAUGAAAAACACCCAGCUUCGUAUGGAUGUUAAUUUUGAUAAGGAUCUUCAUUUUCGACCUGUUGGGGGCCCGGUAAAGGCGAAAAUGGCAAAUGAGUAUUGGCACGCGGUAGCCAUCGAAAUUUCGAUAUUUACCUUUGGCGCUUACAACAACAUCGACUUGUCUUUCUGGGUCCGCAACGCUUCUUCUUCUCACAAAGUCUUCCGAGCAAGACUACCGAACAUGCUCGAUACACUGAGAGAAAUAUUACUGACUCUUGUUCCCGAUCGCGAACGUUCAUGUAUAAAAGAACACUUAGAGACCAAGUUCCUCGUGGCACAGGUCGAAAAGGGGGUGCUAAAUUUGGUCGGACUUGCUGAAUGGCUUGCCGUUCUAUUGAAAACACAUUGUGCGCCAAUGAGGGAUCAAAUGGCGGAUGACAUGGUUGAACAAGUUCGAAAUGGCUAUCAAUUGCAAGAUAUGAAUCAAGUAUCGAAAGGUCUUCAUCAACUUUUUGUCAUACUUGAAUCAAUGAAAUUGGAUGUGGCAAAUCACCAGAUUCGUGCGUUCCGACUAUAUUUGAUAGAAGACUCUGUUGAGUAUCUCAGAAAACACUACGAUUUCGUCAUAAAAAAGUCGCAACAGUCUC